UACGGAGGGUGCAAGCGUUGUUCGGAAUCACUGGGCGUAAAGCGCGUGUGGGCGGCCUUCUAAGUCUGAUGUGAAAGCCCGGGGCUCACCCCCGGAAGUGCAUUGGAUACUGGGAGGCUGGAGUACCGGAGAGGAGGGUGGAAUUCCUGGUGUAGCGGUGAAAUGCGUAGAUAUCAGGAGGAACACCGGUGGCGAAGGCGGCCCUCUGGACGGAUACUGACGCUGAGACGCGACAGCGUGGGGAGCAAACAGG
Molecule: ribosomal RNA, 253 nt
Filed under: uncultured bacterium
Lineage: Bacteria
Description: partial 16S ribosomal RNA
Rfam family: Bacterial small subunit ribosomal RNA
Source: RNAcentral